This 58-nucleotide microRNA precursor is filed under the name Monodelphis domestica (gray short-tailed opossum). RNAcentral describes it as "microRNA mdo-mir-12403 precursor". The record is from miRBase by way of RNAcentral. Lineage: Eukaryota; Metazoa; Chordata; Mammalia; Didelphimorphia; Didelphidae.
UAGCCCUUGCCCUUUUCUGUCUUAGAAUUGUUACUAAGACAGAAAGUAAGGGUUUGCU